GCCACUUUCCAAAUAGCGCCAAUCUCCACCAGAAUGAUGCGCUCGUGGGGUCAUUUCUGGUGGAAUGCAGAGCAUAGAGCUACUCUGUUAGGCGCGUCAUUUUCACGAUGGAGACCACACCGAGAAAGCAUCUGAAGGAGGGUCACCUACUAAGAAGGCCAAUGUUCGGCCGAAGCGAGGUGCAAGGUUCAAUUGUACUAUGGGCGGGGGUUUACCGGGGGAUUUCCAUAGAAUAUCCACAUUUUGCGAGGCCUCAAUGCUUUGUUUAUGGGCGAUCCUAAAGAGUAUUUUUGUCCUUGGGA
RNAcentral lists this small RNA (302 nucleotides) under Histoplasma ohiense. RNAcentral describes it as "hypothetical lncRNA". The record is from RNAcentral. Lineage: Eukaryota; Fungi; Ascomycota; Eurotiomycetes; Onygenales; Ajellomycetaceae.